UAACGCGAAGAACCUUACCAAAUCUUGACAUCCUUUGAAAACUCUAGAGAUAGAGCCCCCCCCUUCGGAGACAAAGUGACAGGUGGUGCAUGGUCGUCGUCAGCUCGUGUCGUGAGAUGUUGGGUUAAGUCCCGCAACGAGCGCAACCCUUAUUGUUAGUUGCCAGCAUUCAGAUGGGCACUCUAGCGAGACUGCCGGUGACAAACCGGAGGAAGGCGGGGACGACGUCAGAUCAUCAUGCCCCUUAUGACCUGGGCUACACACGUGCUACAAUGGGCGAUACAACGAGUUGCGAAACCGCGAGGUCAAGCUAAUCUCUUAAAGUACGUCUUAGUUCGGAUUGUAGGCUGCAACUCGCCUACAUGAAGUCGGAAUCGCUAGUAAUCGCGGAUCAGCACGCCGCGGUGAAUACGUUCCCGGGUCUUGUACACACCGA
RNAcentral lists this ribosomal RNA (436 nucleotides) under uncultured Leuconostoc sp. RNAcentral describes it as "bacterial SSU rRNA". It matches the Rfam family "Bacterial small subunit ribosomal RNA", at positions 957 to 1393 of the family's 1533-position model. The record is from RNAcentral. Lineage: Bacteria; Bacillati; Bacillota; Bacilli; Lactobacillales; Lactobacillaceae.